AAUAUUACGGCUCUGCCCACAGAAUUGUCUUUCUUUUACCCCGGCUGUGCCCCGAGUUAUAAUUGGUCCGUCCUCCCGUGACAGACGCCGAUCACAACGCCGUACGAUUUUGUACAGGUCUCGUGCUCUUAUAUCCGUGUAAUAUCCGUUUAUGUAUAGUAUUUUAUAGCCUUUAAACGCGUGCGGACGGAGACCACGAUCUGUUUGUCCCUCGCAUGGCAAUCGCCUUGCGGGCGCUCAUAUCGAUACUAUCCAGCACACCUACUAGCGCAGACCACUUGGACCGUCCCUGUACGUCUGCCUCCCUCGUAUACACCCCGCACAAUAUUUUAUUACGUCUCGGAAAUAAUGACGUC
This is a non-coding RNA of Cinara cedri, 356 nucleotides long. NCBI's taxonomy places the organism in Eukaryota, Metazoa, Arthropoda, Insecta, Hemiptera, Aphididae. The record is from the annotation of a GenBank genome assembly.